This 433-nucleotide ribosomal RNA is filed under the name uncultured bacterium. RNAcentral describes it as "partial 16S ribosomal RNA". It matches the Rfam family "Bacterial small subunit ribosomal RNA", at positions 29 to 507 of the family's 1533-position model. The record is from RNAcentral.
AACGAACGCUGGCGGCAUGCCUAACACAUGCAAGUCGAACGAGACCUUCGGGUCUAGUGGCGCACGGGUGCGUAACGCGUGGGAACCUGCCCUUAGGUUCGGAAUAACUCCCCGAAAGGGGUGCUAAUACCGGAUAAUGUCUUCGGACCAAAGAUUUAUCGCCUUUGGAUGGGCCCGCGUUGGAUUAGCUAGUUGGUAGGGUAAAAGCCUACCAAGGCGUCGAUCCAUAGCUGGUCUGAGAGGAUGAUCAGCCACACUGGGACUGAGACACGGCCCAGACUCCUACGGGAGGCAGCAGUGAGGAAUAUUGGACAAUGGGCGAAAGCCUGAUCCAGCAAUGCCGCGUGAGUGAUGAAGGCCUUAGGGUUGUAAAGCUCUUUUACCCGGGAUGAUAAUGACAGUACCGGGAGAAUAAGCUCCGGCUAACUCCGUG